Molecule: long non-coding RNA, 909 nt
Filed under: Nicotiana benthamiana
Lineage: Eukaryota; Viridiplantae; Streptophyta; Magnoliopsida; Solanales; Solanaceae
Description: long non-coding RNA (NBEN_LNC032807)
Source: RNAcentral
AAAAUCAAAGAAUGCAAAGAAAAGAAUAGUUUAGAAAGAUACAGAGAAAUACGUACAAAAAGAAACCAAAAUACUUUUACAUUUGAGUCCCUCCAUAGUAAUUUGAAAGGAAAUUUUUAGGGGUUGAAAUCCAGAAACAUUUGUGAAAAAAGAGAGAAAAAAAAACACGGCAAAGGUUUACAUUUAGGCAAAAAUUGAAUAGAAGAAAAAUCCAAGAUGAAGAGGAGUCGAAACACAGCUGAAGGAAUACUGUUUGAUUAACUUUCUGUUUUGACUCGGAGAAUUUUCAAAUAGUUGAAGUCAUUGAGAUUCCACUUGAGGUUGAGAUAAACUGAGAUCAAGUUUUCUAAGUUACUUUUGAAUGAAAUCUAGUUUCUUGGUUUUUAUUGCUUCAUUUUCUGGCUUUUACCCCUGCUGAAUCUGUUGGUUGAUACUGUUGCUGAGUUUUUGACUACUCUGCUUUGUUUUCUUCAAACUUACAAGUAUCACUCAACCCUAGGGAUGUGUGUGAGGUGUAGCUUGAAGCAAAAAUUGAAGAACACGAAAUAAAUAUGCUAUUUAUGUAUACUUUAUUUGUCUUAAAGACUAGAUUCUUUUCAUUAUUGUUCAUGUAUUUAUAAAUUAAUUGUCUAGCACACUGUAAUUUCAAGGGUGUCUCCAAGUUCAACUUUGCAUGAGCUAGCCAAGUCAGGUGUACAUGCCAUUGGUAGAUGCGAGUUUAGAUUUUGGGGGUGGGGGUUUGGCAAAGGUAUUUUGUUCACUUGAUAGCUGGACAUUUGAAGAAUGCACAUUUUAAUCCUGUGUUGAAAAUUAAAAUCCUGAUACGGUUUAAAUUCGAAAAUAGCCAUGGAAGCAAAAAUGUAUUGAAGCGCAUGUUUUGAAUGGUUUUAAAUCAAUUUAGGGAAUUAC